UGCCUAUGCUCAGAUAUGGUAGGACACC
Molecule: non-coding RNA, 28 nt
Filed under: Mus musculus (house mouse)
Lineage: Eukaryota; Metazoa; Chordata; Mammalia; Rodentia; Muridae
Source: RNAcentral